RNAcentral lists this ribosomal RNA (468 nucleotides) under uncultured bacterium. RNAcentral's name for it is "partial 16S ribosomal RNA". It matches the Rfam family "Bacterial small subunit ribosomal RNA", at positions 28 to 507 of the family's 1533-position model. The record is from RNAcentral.
GACGAACGCUGGCGGCGUGCUUAACACAUGCAAGUCGAACGGAAAGGCCCUGCUUUUGUGGGGUUCUCGAUUGGCGAACGGGUGAGUAACACGUGAGUAAACUGCCCUUGACUUUGGGAUAACUUCAGGAAACUGGGGCGAAUACCGGAUAUGAGCUCCUGCUGCAUGGUGGGGGUUGGAAAGUUUCGGCGGUUGGGGAUGGACUCGCGGCUUAUCAGCUGGUUGGUGGGGUAGUGGCUUACCAAGGCUUUGACGGGUAGCCGGCCUGAGAGGGUGACCGGCCACAUUGGGACUGAGAUACGGCCCAGACUCCUACGGGCCGCAGCAGUGGAGAAUAUUGCGCAAUGGGCGGAAGCCUGAUGCAGCAACGCCGCGUGCGGGAUGACGGCUUUCGGGUUGUAAACAGAUUUCGACUGUGACGAAGCGUGCGUGACGGUAAUGGGUCAAGAAGCACCGGCUAACUACGUG